GGGGAUCUAGCUCAGUUGGUAGAGCGCCUGCCUUGGAUGCACCAGGUCCCUGGGUUCAACCCCCAGCACCACCA
Molecule: transfer RNA, 74 nt
Filed under: Ictidomys tridecemlineatus (thirteen-lined ground squirrel)
Lineage: Eukaryota; Metazoa; Chordata; Mammalia; Rodentia; Sciuridae
Description: Spermophilus tridecemlineatus (thirteen-lined ground squirrel) tRNA
Rfam family: tRNA
About the family: Transfer RNA (tRNA) molecules are approximately 80 nucleotides in length. Their secondary structure includes four short double-helical elements and three loops (D, anti-codon, and T loops).
Source: Rfam by way of RNAcentral